This 372-nucleotide ribosomal RNA is filed under the name uncultured organism. RNAcentral describes it as "bacterial SSU rRNA". It matches the Rfam family "Bacterial small subunit ribosomal RNA", at positions 526 to 896 of the family's 1533-position model. The record is from RNAcentral.
CAGAGGGGGCAAGCGUUAUUCGGAAUUAUUGGGCGUAAAGGGCGCGUAGGCGGCUUCGCAAGUGACGGGUGAAAUCCCUCGGCUUAACCGAGGAACUGCCUGUCAGACUGCAUGGCUUGAGACCAGGAGAGGUGAGUGGAAUUCCCAGUGUAGCGGUGAAAUGCGUAGAUAUUGGGAGGAACACCAGUGGCGAAGGCGGCUCACUGGACUGGUACUGACGCUGAGGCGCGAAAGCGUGGGGAGCAAACAGGAUUAGAUACCCUGGUAGUCCACGCCGUAAACGAUGAGUGCUUGGUGUAGCGGGUAUCGACCCCUGCUGUGCCGAAGUCAACACAUUAAGCUCUCCGCCUGGGGAGUACGGUCGCAAGACUG